AACGAACGCUGGCGGCAUGCCUAACACAUGCAAGUCGAACGAGACCUUCGGGUCUAGUGGCGCACGGGUGCGUAACGCGUGGGAAUCUACCCUUGGGUUCGGAAUAACAGUUAGAAAUGACUGCUAAUACCGGAUGAUGACGUAAGUCCGAAGAUUUAUCGCCCAAGGAUGAGCCCGCGUAAGAUUAGCUUGUUGGUGGGGUAAUGGCCUACCAAGGCGACGAUCUUUAGCUGGUCUGAGAGGAUGAUCAGCCACACUGGGACUGAGACACGGCCCAGACUCCUACGGGAGGCAGCAGUGGGGAAUAUUGGACAAUGGGCGAAAGCCUGAUCCAGCAAUGCCGCGUGAGUGAUGAAGGCUUUAGGGUUGUAAAGCUCUUUUACCAGGGAUGAUAAUGACAGUACCUGGAGAAUAAGCUCCGGCUAACUCCGUGCCAGCAGCCGCCGUAA
This 449-nucleotide ribosomal RNA is filed under the name uncultured bacterium. RNAcentral's name for it is "partial 16S ribosomal RNA". It matches the Rfam family "Bacterial small subunit ribosomal RNA", at positions 29 to 523 of the family's 1533-position model. The record is from RNAcentral.